GAACGGGUGAGUAACACGUGAGUAAUCUGCCUCUGGCUUCGGGAUAGCCACCGGAAACGGUGAUUAAUACCGGAUACGACACGCUCUUGCAUGAGAUGUGUGUGGAAAGUUUUUUCGGCCAGGGAUGUGCUCGCGGCCUAUCAGCUUGUUGGUGGGGUAAUGGCCUACCAAGGCUUCGACGGGUAGCCGGCCUGAGAGGGUGACCGGCCACACUGGGACUGAGACACGGCCCAGACUCCUACGGGAGGCAGCAGUGGGGAAUAUUGGACAAUGGGCGGAAGCCUGAUCCAGCAACGCCGCGUGAGGGAUGACGGCCUUCGGGUUGUAAACCUCUUUCAGCACAGACGAAGCGCAAGUGACGGUAUGUGCAGAAGAAGGACCGGCCAACUACGUGCCAGCAGCCGCGGUAAUACGUAGGGUCCGAGCGUUGUCCGGAAUUAUUGGGCGUAAAGGGCUCGUAGGCGGUUUGUCGCGUCGGGAGUGAAAACACCGGGCUUAACUCGGUGCUUGCUUUCGAUACGGGCAGACUAGAGGCAUUCAGGGGAGAACGGAAUUCCUGGUGUAGCGGUGAAAUGCGCAGAUAUCAGGAGGAACACCGGUGGCGAAGGCGGUUCUCUGGGAAUGUCCUGACGCUGAGGAGCGAAAGUGUG
Molecule: ribosomal RNA, 650 nt
Filed under: Nocardioides marinus
Lineage: Bacteria; Bacillati; Actinomycetota; Actinomycetes; Propionibacteriales; Nocardioidaceae
Description: bacterial SSU rRNA
Rfam family: Bacterial small subunit ribosomal RNA
Source: RNAcentral